RNAcentral lists this long non-coding RNA (450 nucleotides) under Drosophila guanche. Lineage: Eukaryota; Metazoa; Arthropoda; Insecta; Diptera; Drosophilidae. The record is from RNAcentral.
GGGUCUCCCGUCUUCGUCGUCGUCUGCCGCCAAGUGAAAUCUUCGCCUGCAUUAACGAGUUUUCCGUGACGCGUUGGAUAUGUUGUGGUUGUUGUUGUUGCUGUAGUUUCUUCAUGCUGCUGUUCUUCUUCUCCUUCUUAUUGCUCCUCUUCUUCUUCAGCUUCUUUCUCCGCUGCCCCUUCUCUGCUUGUCGUUUUCCUUAAGCCCCGCUGCUGGCUGCUCUUAUUCUUUUGCCACCGCUUUGCUUUUGCUACACUUGAUUUCCACACACACACACAGAGUGGAGAGUGGAUAAGAGAGAGAGAGAGCAAGUGAGAGAAGCGAUCGACCUGCACUGCGUUCGGGGACGGACUCUUAUCCUCCUGUGAUUUGCUCGCUUUUCUCUCUCCCUCUCUCUCUCUCUCUCUCUCUGUCGCUGUCAUUCUGUUCUCUGGCGAUCAGGUUACCUGC